Molecule: ribosomal RNA, 424 nt
Filed under: Gallus gallus (chicken)
Lineage: Eukaryota; Metazoa; Chordata; Aves; Galliformes; Phasianidae
Description: partial 12S ribosomal RNA
Source: RNAcentral
ACCGGCGCCCGUCACCCACCACACCGCCCGUCACCCUCACCACCGCCCGUCACCCUCACACACCGCCCGUCACCCUCACACACCGCCCGUCACCCUCACACACCGCCCGUCACCCUCACACACCGCCCGUCACCCUCACACACCGCCCGUCACCCUCACACACCGCCCGUCACCCUCACACACCGCCCAUCACCCUCACACACCGCCCGUCACCCUCACACACCGCCCGUCACCCUCACACACGGCCCGGUCACCCUCAAACGGGGGCCGAUCACCCGUCAUACACUGUCCGACACCCUCACAAAGCGCCCGGACCCCUCACCCGCCCCCAGAAGGCGGAAUUAGCAGUCAAGUACGAUCAUACCCCCUCAGCUCCCUUUAAAACGGCUCUGAGGCACGUACACACCGCCCGUCACCCUCAAAC